CAUAGAUUAAAAUUUUCCUCUCUAAAUGGAACUUUGGUGAAAAUCCAAGACGGUCCCGCCACUGUAAUAAGCAUAAUGCUUUAAGUCAGGUCUUUUUAGAAAGUUAAAAAUUGGUACUUACUGUUUCGUGGUAGAACAGUGGGAGUUAG
This 149-nucleotide small RNA is filed under the name Vagococcus fluvialis. Lineage: Bacteria; Bacillati; Bacillota; Bacilli; Lactobacillales; Enterococcaceae. The record is from RNAcentral.